CCUUGAACUAUCCAGAAAAUGGUGCUCGAUUUUUAAACCCCGAAUUAUUGUUCGCCAAACGUUGUAAAACCUAAACAAUUACCUUUCUGUGGUUAUCAUUUUUAUAGUUUUUUCAUUUAAGAACAAUUCCGCCAAAUGUCGUCAGCGGCUGCAGCAUUGUUGGACGAAUUAAUGGGCAGAGAUCGUAAUCUCCAGCCUAGUGACCAAAGAACUGAGACUCGGUGGGACGAUAAGGACGUUUGCAAGUAUUUUUUGUGUGGAUUUUGUCCACACGAGUUGUUUGUUAAUACUCGAGCUGACUUGGGUCCUUGUGACAAAAUACACGAUGAGUCACUACGGAAGGAAUAUGAAAAAAGUACUCGUUACCAGAAAAUGACAUAUGAAGAUGAAUUUUUUAGAUUUCUUACCAAUUUAAUAAAUGAUGUUGAGAAAAGAAUUCGGAGGGGUCACCAACGUUUAGCAUUAAAUAAUCAACAAGGAAGCCUGAAUGGAAACAUGCUAGGUGGAAAAGAUGACCGAGUUCAGAUGUUGACACAGAAAAUCAAUGAAUUAGUUGAAAAGGCAGAACAACUGGGGUGUGAAGGUAAUGUGGAUGAGGCUCAAGGGGUGAUGAAAUUAUGCGACCAGCUUAAGGAGGAAAGACGCCAAAUAGAGGAAAAUGAUUCUGGUGAUGGGCCACAGGUGAAGCAAAUGGAAGUUUGUGAAGUGUGUGGUGCAUUCUUGAUUGUUGGGGAUAUGAAGCAGAGAAUAGAUGAACAUCUAUUGGGUAAACAGCACAUGGGUUAUGCACGAGCUAGAGCGACAGUCGAGAAAAUGAAAGAAAAAAUAAAAAAAGAGGCAGAGGAGAGAGAAGAAAGAGAAGCCAGACUUGUUAAAGAAAGAGAAGAACGAGAAAAGGAAAGGGAAAAGGAACGAGAAGAGAGAAAUAAGCGUUUACGAGAAGAACGUGAAAAGUCUAAAAGUCACAGAUCUAGAAGCAGAGAAAGAAGCACACAUAAAAGAAGUUCACACAGUCGAGAUCGUGACCGAGAUCGUGAUAGACAUUCACAUACAUCCUCCAGAAGGUCUCGUAGCCGUGAUCGCCAUCGUUCUUCACGACGUUCACGAAGCAGAGAUAAGAAAUCAAGCACCCGCAGUGAUAGUAGAAGUAAAAGAUCGCCACAUAAAGAGAAGGAUAAAGACAGGCACAGGGAUCGAAAUGAUGACAAGCGAAGAGAUAGAGAAGACAAAGACAAGUAGGAGCUGACAAAAAAACACAAUAUGUACAGAAAGAAACCAUUUCAUCUUAAACAACACAAUUACCCGUGCUAGAGUAGAAACACAUCAACUCAACUAGAAUAAUUGAUUGGUGUUCAUCUCAUUGAAAAAAUGUACCAGUCACCGAAGACCACAAACAAUGAGGUGUACUGUACAUGUAAGUCAAAGUGCCGUCUUAAGGCUAACAACAGUCUUGUGAGCCAAUGGGAUAGUGAAGCCGAGUACAAGUAUAUUUACACAUUGUGAUUCAAAGGUAUAUAUGAAAAAGAAAGAAUGAAUUUCUUUUAAAGAAAAACGACCUGUAAAUUGGCCAUGAACGGGCUUAAAAGAAGAAAAUGUAUUUAAUGUGAAGGGUCGACCGAUUUUAAAUACAUUUUCGAUGAAUCAGAAGAAUUAUUAAAUGCGCAUUUUUGAAGUGAUAGAUCCUACUUAUAAAAUGUUAUCCAUGAACUUCAUAUUAUGUUGAAAGUUGUCACUAGUUUGGAAUAAAAACUAUACAAUUUAGAUGUAAUCUACAGCACAGAAAUGUCUUUGAAUACAGCACAAACAAUUUAAAAUUGGCUGUGUUUAGAAAUAAAUUUGAAGGUUUCUCUGCUUCUUGUGCAAAUGCCCAGCACUAUCUUUUAAUUUUUAAAUAUGUUGAACGGGAAAACAUUUUAUAAGGUGCAUCUGUUUUCAAAUUGAUAAUUAUUUUUAUUAAGAAAUGAAGUUUAUAGGCAUCCAGUGUAGCUGAUAUAAGAAGAGUGGCGAAACACAGCGAAGAAUAGUCAAGAUUUUUGUGACAAUACGAAGUAAAUUUUUGUAUUUUUCUCCAUAGGUCCCAGUUGAAUACCAUGUAAAUCAUUCCAAUAUGAUGUUAAAUCAUAUUGGAUCUAUUGAGCAUAUUGUACAUUGUUGUCCUCGUGAAAAUUCCAUUUUCUGGCAGGGUUGGUAUUUGAACAAGAAAAAACAGUAGAAACCUGGUAAAAAAAAUUGAAUAACUUGGUACAAACUGUCAAAACUCUUGAGGGAUGCAUAUCACUAUUAUAUUAUAAAUCCACUUUUACAUUCUGCUAUUAAAAGUUGAUCACACAUCACAUACUGGAUAGAAGACAAAAAUAUGAUAUCACCACUAAUCUUCUAACAAGAAACUUUAACAGUUAUAUUUUCUGUCAGCACAGGGCUUGGUUGGGUCUUAAUAAACCCAAUGUAUCCUUUGUCCAGUUCUUAGAUAUUGGCUAUAAAUUUUAACCAAUAUCAAAUUUUUUUGAGAUCUGCUCAUAGCUUUAAACACUCGUUGGCCUGACAGGGAUGAGGUGGGACAUAAAAUAAUAUAUAGGUCAUUUUUUUAAAUGAUUUACAUAAAUUUACAAAUUCAAAUUUUUGAGGGUUCUUACCAUUACAUAAACUACAAACAUUAAUUUAAAAAAACUUUAUAUUCACGUUCAAGGAGAAGCUGAACUGAGCUGACUUUCUCUUAUUUACUCUAUUUGAAAUAGUCAUAUAACUGGUCGGUACAAAAGGGUUAAAAUUAAAUGUAGAAUUAAAACAAAGAGUUUAAGUUUCCUGUUAAUGAAUUUGUUUGACCUUGUAAGUUAAUAAAGUAUGACAUUUCUAAUGAUAGAUAAAAUCAAAUUAUAGACUCAAAUCACAUGUACCAAUUUAUUCAGUUAAUACAGAUAUUUUUUCACUGAAUCAUAUCUUGGUACAUAUGUUACAUAUUAACGCCAUGCUUUUCCAUUGAUUGUCUCCCACAUGUACUAAAAAAUGGCAGCUAUAUGUAUGUUCAAAUUUGAAAAUUGUGAAAAAUGGUUAGGUAUUUCGGUGGAAAUAUAUUAUUAUACCUUGAAAUGUUGGUUACAGUUCCGAAGCAUCAUUUAGGGCUUAUAGAAAUCACUUGCAAAGUAUAAUUUUGUGUAAGUUGAAUCUCUUAAAUAGGAAUAUCAGUCCAGAAAUGGUUCAAUUCGUACAGUAUUAAGUAAGUUAUGAUAAAUUAAAAUUUCAUCGAUCUAUGCUGGUUGUGCAUCACAGUCUGGGAGAUUAUAUAGUAACAGAACACAAUUUUUAUGGGAAACAAUCACUGGUUUUAUUCUAAAA
Molecule: RNA transcript, 3333 nt
Organism: Patella vulgata (common limpet)
Lineage: Eukaryota; Metazoa; Mollusca; Gastropoda; Patellidae
Gene name: luc7-like protein 3
Exons: 2
Source: RefSeq, a predicted model, not a curated record